This 786-nucleotide ribosomal RNA is filed under the name Triticum aestivum (bread wheat). RNAcentral describes it as "partial small subunit ribosomal RNA". The record is from RNAcentral. Lineage: Eukaryota; Viridiplantae; Streptophyta; Magnoliopsida; Poales; Poaceae.
AUGGAUCCUAGUCAAGUUAGAAAGCUGAUCAUAGCAGACCAGAUACGAUCGCCGCUGUCUCGCACAUCGGUACCACCUUCAGCAACGGAUCGAGCACCGGUAGUUGCUCUAGCACUAACAGCGGCAGCAGCUCAGUCUGAUCCAGCAGAGGAUUGGGCACCGACCGCGUCAGCGGAUCAGGCUGAUCUACCAGAGGAUCGGGCAUCGACACCGGCACCUGCUCCGACACCGGCACUAGCUCUACAAGGAGCACCAUCUCCGGCAGCAGCACUGGCUUCGGCACCUGCACCAACACUUGCCCUUGCAUUUGCUUCGGACCGUGCAGCGGCAACCGAACGAGCAGUUGCACCGGCAAUAGACUGGGCUGCAGUUCACACUUCAUAUACCAAAGUCCUUACAAAAACCGACAUGUCCACCUUGUUGGUAAGCAUUGGCCGCCUAAGUGCUUCGUUCUUUUUUCUUUCCAUGUUGUUUCACAUGAUUCACUGUGUUGAUCUAACUGUUUGGGUAUGUCUUCUUGUUUGCAAACGGAGAACUCCUAGAGCAACGAGGGAGUCGUUCAACAAUCCGGGCGACCGCGACCAAGUUUCUCUUACCAUGCGCAGCCUUGGUGUGAAUGAACCUGCUCAAUAUACCAUAAGUACAAAGGAUGGUCACAUGAUGAUUGAUGCUAAAGGAUGGUCAAGGUUCAAAUCUAAAUCAUAUCUUGCAGUAGGGGAUGAUGUCAAAAUCGAACUUUCUCGGCAAGGAGAGCUGGUCCAAAUCAACUUUGAAAUUCUUCAGUAG